GGCGNUCAGGAAAGUCUGGAGUAAAAGGCUAUGGNUCAACCAUAGUGUGCUCUGGAAACUNUCUGACUUGAGUGCAGAAGGGGAGAGUGGAAUUCCAUGUGUAGCGGUGAAAUGCGUAGAUAUAUGGAGGAACACCAGUGGCGAAAGCGGCUCUCUGGUCUGUCACUGACGCUGAGGCUCGAAAGCGUGGGUAGCGAACAGGAUUAGAUACCCUGGUAGUNCACGCCGUAAACGAUGAGUGCUAGGUGUUAGGCCCUUUCCGGGGCUUAGUGCCGGAGCUAACGCAAUAAGCACUCCGCCUGGGGAGUACGACCGCAAGGUUGAAACUCAAAGGAAUUGACGGGGGCCCGCACAAGCGGUGGAGCAUGUGGUUUAAUUCGAAGCAACGCGAAGAACCUUACCAGGUCUUGACAUCCCGAUGCUAUUCUUAGAGAUAGGAAGUUACUUCGGUACAUCGGAGACAGGUGGUGCAUGGUUGUCGUCAGCUCGUGUCGUGAGAUGUUGGGUUAAGUCCCGCAACGAGCGCAACCCUUAUUGUUAGUUGCCAUCAUUAAGUUGGGCACUCUAGCGAGACUGCCGGUAAUAAACCGGAGGAAGGUGGGGAUGACGUCAAAUCAUCAUGCCCCUUAUGACCUGGGCUACACACGUGCUACAAUGGUCGGUACAACGAGUUGCGAGCCGGUGACGGCAAGCUAAUCUCUGAAAGCCGAUCUCAGUUCGGAUUGGAGGCUGCAACUCGCCUCCAUGAAGUCGGAAUCGCUAGUAAUCGCGGGUCAGCACGCCGCGGUGAAUACGUUCCCGGGCCUUGUACACACCGCCCGUCACACCGCGAGAGUUUGUAACACCCGAAGUCGGUGAGGUANCCUUUUAGGGGCCA
RNAcentral lists this ribosomal RNA (877 nucleotides) under uncultured bacterium. RNAcentral's name for it is "bacterial SSU rRNA". It matches the Rfam family "Bacterial small subunit ribosomal RNA", at positions 574 to 1451 of the family's 1533-position model. The record is from RNAcentral.